RNAcentral lists this ribosomal RNA (467 nucleotides) under uncultured bacterium. RNAcentral describes it as "partial 16S ribosomal RNA". It matches the Rfam family "Bacterial small subunit ribosomal RNA", at positions 28 to 507 of the family's 1533-position model. The record is from RNAcentral.
GACGAACGCUGGCGGCGUGCUUAACACAUGCAAGUCGAACGGAAAGGCUCCAGCUUGCUGGAGUACUCGAGUGGCGAACGGGUGAGUAACACGUGGGUAAUCUGCCCUGCACUCUGGGAUAAGCCUGGGAAACUGGGUCUAAUACUGGAUAUGACCUUUCUCCUUAUGGGGUUUGGUGGAAAGUUUUUCGGUGUAGGAUGAGCCCGCGGCCUAUCAGCUUGUUGGUGGGGUGAUGGCCUACCAAGGCGACGACGGGUAGCCGGCCUGGGAGGGUGAUCGGCCACAUUGGGACUGAGAGACGGCCCAGACUCCUACGGGAGGCAGCAGUGGGGAAUAUUGCACAAUGGGCGGAAGCCUGAUGCAGCGACGCCGCGUGAGGGAUGACGGCCUUCGGGUUGUAAACCUCUUUCAGCAGGGACGAAGCGUAAGUGACGGUACCUGCAGAAGAAGCACCGGCUAACUACGUG